RNAcentral lists this non-coding RNA (28 nucleotides) under Homo sapiens (human). The record is from RNAcentral. Lineage: Eukaryota; Metazoa; Chordata; Mammalia; Primates; Hominidae.
CUAGGUGAAAUUGAGUUACAGUGACAGC